This 200-nucleotide ribosomal RNA is filed under the name uncultured bacterium. RNAcentral describes it as "partial 16S ribosomal RNA". It matches the Rfam family "Bacterial small subunit ribosomal RNA", at positions 29 to 232 of the family's 1533-position model. The record is from RNAcentral.
AGUGAACGCUGGCGGCAGGCCUAACACAUGCAAGUCGAGCGGCAGCGCGGGGCAACCUGGCGGCGAGCGGCGGACGGGUGAGGAAUGCAUCGGAAUCUACCCUGACGUGGGGGAUAACGUAGGGAAACUUACGCUAAUACCGCAUACGACCGAGAGGUGAAAGUGGGGGACCGCAAGGCCUCACGCGAUUGGAUGAGCCG